This 744-nucleotide ribosomal RNA is filed under the name Extubocellulus spinifer. RNAcentral describes it as "partial Bacterial small subunit ribosomal RNA". It matches the Rfam family "Bacterial small subunit ribosomal RNA", at positions 344 to 1105 of the family's 1533-position model. Lineage: Eukaryota; Bacillariophyta; Thalassiosirophyceae; Cymatosirales; Cymatosiraceae. The record is from RNAcentral.
GGAGGCAGCAGUGGGGAAUAUUGGACAAUGGGCGCAAGCCUGAUCCAGCCAUGCCGCGUGAGUGAUGAAGGCCUUAGGGUUGUAAAGCUCUUUCAACGGUGAAGAUAAUGACGGUAACCGUAGAAGAAGCCCCGGCUAACUUCGUGCCAGCAGCCGCGGUAAUACGAAGGGGGCUAGCGUUGUUCGGAAUUACUGGGCGUAAAGCGCACGCAGGCGGUUUGUUAAGCUAGAUGUGAAAGCCCCGGGCUCAACCUGGGAAUAGCAUUUAGAACUGGCAGACUAGAGUCUUGGAGAGGGGAGUGGAAUUUCUGGUGUAGCGGUGAAAUGCGUAGAUAUCAGAAGGAACAUCAGUGGCGAAGGCGACUCCCUGGCCAAAGACUGACGCUCAUGUGCGAAAGUGUGGGUAGCGAACAGGAUUAGAUACCCUGGUAGUCCACACCGUAAACGCUGUCUACUAGCUGUUUGUGGAUUUAAUCCGUGGGUAGCGAAGCUAACGCGAUAAGUAGACCGCCUGGGGAGUACGGCCGCAAGGUUAAAACUCAAAUGAAUUGACGGGGGCCCGCACAAGCGGUGGAGCAUGUGGUUUAAUUCGAUUCAACGCGAAGAACCUUACCUACUCUUGACAUACUAGAAACUUUUCAGAGAUGAAUUGGUGCCUUCGGGAAUCUAGAUACAGGUGCUGCAUGGCUGUCGUCAGCUCGUGUCGUGAGAUGUUGGGUUAAGUCCCGCAACGAGCGCAACCCU